RNAcentral lists this ribosomal RNA (457 nucleotides) under uncultured Sphingobacteriales bacterium. Its description in RNAcentral is "bacterial SSU rRNA". It matches the Rfam family "Bacterial small subunit ribosomal RNA", at positions 924 to 1382 of the family's 1533-position model. The record is from RNAcentral. Lineage: Bacteria; Pseudomonadati; Bacteroidota; Sphingobacteriia; Sphingobacteriales.
CACAAGCGGUGGAGCAUGUGGUUUAAUUCGAUGAUACGCGAGGAACCUUACCUGGGCUCAAAUGUAUGUUGACGUAUUUCUGAAAGGGAUACUUCUUCGGACAAUAUACAAGGUGCUGCAUGGUUGUCGUCAGCUCGUGCCGUGAGGUGUCGGGUUAAGUCCCAUAACGAGCGCAACCCCUAUCAUUAGUUGCCAUCAGGUCAAGCUGGGGACUCUAAUGAAACUGCCUACGCAAGUAGUGAGGAAGGUGGGGAUGACGUCAAAUCAGCACGGCCCUUACGUCCAGGGCUACACACGUGCUACAAUGGUCGGUACAAAGGGUUGCCAAGCCGCGAGGUGGAGCUAAUCCCAUAAAACCGAUCGUAGUCCGGAUCGCAGUCUGCAACUCGACUGCGUGAAGUCGGAAUCGCUAGUAAUCGUGAAUCAGAAUGUCACGGUGAAUACGUUCCCGGGCCUU